CACGUAGGCGGCUAAAUUAGUCGGGUGUGAAAGCCCCGGGCUCAACCUGGGAAUUGCAUUCGAUACUGUUUAGCUAGAGUCUGGUAGAGGGUAGUGGAAUUCCAGGUGUAGCGGUGAAAUGCGUAGAUAUCUGGAGGAACAUCGGUGGCGAAGGCGGCUACCUGGACCAAGACUGACGCUGAGGAGCGAAAGCGUGGGGAGCAAACA
RNAcentral lists this ribosomal RNA (207 nucleotides) under uncultured bacterium. RNAcentral's name for it is "partial 16S ribosomal RNA". It matches the Rfam family "Bacterial small subunit ribosomal RNA", at positions 568 to 774 of the family's 1533-position model. The record is from RNAcentral.